UACGUAGGGGUCGAGCGUUGUCCGGAGUUACUGGGCGUAAAGCGCAUGCAGGCGGCUCAUUACGCAUGGCGUGAAAGCCCCCGGCUUAACCGGGGAGGGUCGUCGUGAACGGGUGAGCUUGAGGGUAUCAGGGGCUGGUGGAAUUCCCGGUGUAGUGGUGAAAUGCGUAGAGAUCGGGAGGAACACCUGUGGCGAAGGCGGCCAGCUGGGAUACACCUGACGCUGAGAUGCGAAGGCGUGGGGAGCGAACGGGAUUAGAUACCCCGGUAGUCCACGCAGUAAACGAUGCAGACUAGGCGUGGGAGGACUUGACCCCUUCUGUGCCGGAGCUAACGCGAUAAGUCUGCCGCCUGGGGAGUACGGUCGCAAGACUAAA
Molecule: ribosomal RNA, 376 nt
Filed under: uncultured bacterium
Lineage: Bacteria
Description: bacterial SSU rRNA
Rfam family: Bacterial small subunit ribosomal RNA
Source: RNAcentral